GGGAAACGGGAAGAGGGGCCAGCCCCAGGCCCCGAAGCAAGCAUAUGGGGCC
Non-coding RNA from Heterocephalus glaber (naked mole-rat), 52 nucleotides. The record is from Rfam. NCBI's taxonomy places the organism in Eukaryota, Metazoa, Chordata, Mammalia, Rodentia, Bathyergidae.